UAAGUUUUUCAAGGCAAAGACUUCUUUCUGUGACAACAUUGCAGUUGUCACCUUGCAACAAUUCUAGGAAUAAUCACAUGAACUUCCUCUGCUCAUGAUCCCUUGACCUUUGCAUUGUGCCUUCAAAAACAACAAGGUCUAAAUGAUGCUUUCUCUGUGAUGAUCAGUUUAUUUCCAAGUAGCUUGUCCACAAAUAAGAUUUUCAGAAGAAUUUUACACCACUUCUCUUCUCCACAACCAAUCAUUCAACAUCCCAAAGCAACUCUGACUUGAUGUCACCAUCAAAUUUCCUGCUCCCAAACCUCUGUGAUCACUGAGAGGAAAUUUUUCUGUGUAUGAAAGGAGACCAGUAAAAGAUGAAUAUAGUUAGCAGCAUGUCUUGUAUUUGUGCUGUGUGAAAGUUUAGGUUAAUUUAAAGCCCCAUUUAAAUCUAUUUUCAUAAGGUGCUCUUGCUGGUGGAUGAUUAUAUUCUCAUUGCAUUGAAUAGCUCCAUAAUCAACUUGCUCUCAUGCAAUGUUCCUGUUUCCAAUCUGCAAUAUUUUCUUCUGAAUUUGGAAAUCCAGUGGUGUGAAAAAAUACUAUUGGAGGGGGUUGCAAUCCUUUUAUGUUCAAUUUGGAAACUUCACUCUCAUAAAAUGGUUUCAUGGGCUUUGUUGUGGAGUAAACAGUCUCUUGCCUACACAGGAAUCUGGGGCUACAUAAUUGCUGCUUCUUGCCUCAUAUUUGGAGUUGGGUCAGUCAUAUGGCAGCACUACAACUGGCGUUAUGAGUUGAAGAAAACCACUUUCAAUCCUUCUUUGGAUAAGCUUCACAGUGUAUCUGUGUACUGCAUGAUACAAUUCAGCAUACUCCUUUUGUCAGCUUCAUCCCACUUCUGGCAGUUAUUUCUGUUUCAAUUUUGUCAUGUAGAAAUAUGUUUUUUUUUUCCUUUUGUUUCAUUUAAUGUUUUAACCUGAAAGCAAGGAAGCAAUUUGGAAUAAUAUUGAUAAAUUCAAAAUAAUUUGAAGUAAUCAAAAUGUAUACCACACUUCAGAGCCAUGCAACUGUAGCCAUAAAACUAGUAGAAACUGGAAGACUUAAAAAAUGCAGAUGCUUUGCAGAGGAGCCAGUGGUGUAAUAUUGUGGGAAAAUGAUAGGCUUGUCCAUGAACUAAAGAAAACUGGAGGGAUCUUGGUUAGCACUGUGGACCAAGUCACUGUAUGCACAUUGCAAAACCCUUACAUCAAAGGCAAAUUGUAUAUAUUUUACUGGAUGAUAAUUUGAAAUCUCCUUAUUUCUUCCUACACUUUUCCAGUAUUUUGCUAAAAAAACAUGUUAAAUAUUUACACUUUCUUUUUUCUUUUUAUUCAUUUCCACAGAUGUAAGUGAUAACUUAAAUAGCUUUGUGAUGGCUCUUCACAAUUAUCCCAAAUAGAAUGGCUUACAUUUUUAUGUAACUCUUGAGGGUUUUGCAGUUGCAAGUUGAUGGAGCUAUUAACAUGAUUCCCUUAUCCAACAUCAGUCCCAUGGCAAAUCAGGAUAUGGCAAAGAGUACCCUCUCUGCCUGUAAUAACCUUGGUGACACAUUCAGAAAUCUUACACAAAAUGUUAAAUCACACAUGUCUCAUGCCUACAAAAUUUUUGACAUUGUGUAAGUAUCAAAGGUUCCAUCCCCAUUUCAAGUAAUGAAACGUGUAAAUGUAAUAAAUUGAAAAAUAGGAAAAAACUCAACAAAAAAUAAUAUUAAAUUUGAAAUGCAAUAGCUUGCUCAUACCUUUGAGGCAACAGAUCAACUGCAAACUAACUAAAUAAAUAUUCAAAAUUGUUAAUUGAGGAUGUUUUGUUGAUGUGUGCAGAAAUAUAGUUGUGUCUAUGGUUGCGUCUCUGAUGAUUUUGAUGGUGAUAA
This 1885-nucleotide long non-coding RNA is filed under the name Physcomitrium patens. Its description in RNAcentral is "long non-coding RNA (PPAT_LNC006217)". The record is from RNAcentral. Lineage: Eukaryota; Viridiplantae; Streptophyta; Bryopsida; Funariales; Funariaceae.